This is a long non-coding RNA of Nerophis ophidion (straightnose pipefish), 383 nucleotides long. RefSeq lists it as uncharacterized. NCBI's taxonomy places the organism in Eukaryota, Metazoa, Chordata, Actinopteri, Syngnathiformes, Syngnathidae. The record is from RefSeq and is a predicted model, not a curated record. The transcript has 3 exons.
UUUACGGAAGUAAACAUGGCCUCCACUCCAGUCGGUCUCAGUAUUUUGGCGCAUUUGUGCCAAUUUCAAGGAUUUUGUGCAAUAAAAAGUCAAUUAAAUUUUUUUUAACCGAAUUAUUGUUCGUGGAAGUUUGAGAAGGAAGAGGACAAGUAUUUCUGGCUUUGAAGAGUCUGUCUGUGGGCGGGCAGUCUGAGACAGGAGUGGUGGAAUCUUCUCGCUGGAACCGGUCAUUCCCACCGCACGCAGGAGACGGGUCGCAGAACCUCUUCUCUGAGAGACACUGGCGUUCACCGCAGCCCUCCGACUUUCAGGGGCCGGUGGGAGGAGGCAAGAGAGUCCGCAGCUGCAGAAGGAACGACGCAAGCUCUCCGCUCAUGUCUACG